ACGUAGGAGGCAAGCGUUAUCCGGAUUCACUGGGCGUAAAGCGCGUGCAGGCGGUUCGGUAAGUUGGGCGUGAAAUCUCCUGGCUUAACUAGGAGAGGUCGUUCAAUACUACCGGGCUAGAGAGUGAUAGAGGAAGAUGGAAUUCCCGGUGUAGUGGUGAAAUGCGUAGAUAUCGGGAGGAACACCAGUGGCGAAAGCGAUCUUCUGGAUCAUUUCUGACGCUCAGACGCGAAAGCUAGGGUAGUAAACGGGAUUAGAGACCCCGGUAAUCCUAGCCGUAAACGAUGUAAACUUGGCGUUGGUGGCUUAAACACCAUCAGUGCCGCAGCUAACGCGAUAAGUUUACCGCCUGGGGACUACGAUCGCAAGAUUA
This 373-nucleotide ribosomal RNA is filed under the name uncultured bacterium. RNAcentral describes it as "bacterial SSU rRNA". It matches the Rfam family "Bacterial small subunit ribosomal RNA", at positions 525 to 896 of the family's 1533-position model. The record is from RNAcentral.